GGCCUUGUAGCUCAGCUGGUAGAGCGUGUGCGUACAAAGCAUAGGCAGCGUCCAUCCGUGGGUUUGAAUUCCGCCGAGGCUA
This is a non-coding RNA of Echinostoma caproni, 82 nucleotides long. The record is from Rfam. Lineage: Eukaryota; Metazoa; Platyhelminthes; Trematoda; Plagiorchiida; Echinostomatidae.